RNAcentral lists this ribosomal RNA (433 nucleotides) under uncultured bacterium. RNAcentral's name for it is "partial 16S ribosomal RNA". It matches the Rfam family "Bacterial small subunit ribosomal RNA", at positions 29 to 507 of the family's 1533-position model. The record is from RNAcentral.
AACGAACGCUGGCGGCAUGCCUAACACAUGCAAGUCGAACGAGACCUUCGGGUCUAGUGGCGCACGGGUGCGUAACGCGUGGGAACCUGCCCUUAGGUUCGGAAUAACUCCCCGAAAGGGGUGCUAAUACCGGAUAAUGUCUUCGGACCAAAGAUUUAUCGCCUUUGGAUGGGCCCGCGUUGGAUUAGCUAGUUGGUAGGGUAAAAGCCUACCAAGGCGACGAUCCAUAGCUGGUCUGAGAGGAUGAUCAGCCACACUGGGACUGAGACACGGCCCAGACUACUACGGGAGGCAGCGGUGGGGAAUAUUGGACCAUGGGCGCAAGCCUGAUCCAGCAAUGCCGCGUGAGUGAUGAAGGCCUUAGGGUUGUAAAGCUCUUUUACCCGGGAUGAUAAUGACAGUACCGGGAGAAUAAGCUCCGGCUAACUCCGUG